GGCUCCUACGGGACGCAGCAGUGAGGAAUAUUGGUCAAUGGGCGGAAGCCUGAACCAGCCAAGUCGCGUGAGGGAAUAAGGCCCUACGGGUCGUAAACCUCUUUUGCCGGGGAGCAAGGGCGGGGACGUGUCCCGGCCCGGAGAGUACCCGGAGAAAAAGCAUCGGCUAACUCCGUGCCAGCAGCCGCGGUAAUACGGAGGAUGCGAGCGCUAUCCGGAUUCACUGGGUUUGAAGGGUGCGUAGGCGGGUAGGUAAGGCAGAGGCGAAAUCCUGGAGCUUAACUCCAGAACUCCCUUUGAUACUU
RNAcentral lists this ribosomal RNA (305 nucleotides) under uncultured bacterium. RNAcentral describes it as "bacterial SSU rRNA". It matches the Rfam family "Bacterial small subunit ribosomal RNA", at positions 334 to 635 of the family's 1533-position model. The record is from RNAcentral.